GAUGAACGCUGGCGGCGUGCCUAAUACAUGCAAGUCGAACGCACAGCGAAAGGUGCUUGCACCUUUCAAGUGAGUGGCGAACGGGUGAGUAACACGUGGAUAACCUACCUCAAGGUUGGGGAUAACAUUUGGAAACAGAUGCUAAUACCGAAUAAAACUUAGUAUCGCAUGAUACCAGGUUAAAAAGGCGCUACGGCGUCACCUAGAGAUGGAUCGCGGUGCAUUAGUUAGUUGGUGGGUAAAGGCUUACCAAGACAAUGAUACAUAGCCGAGUUGAGAGACUGAUCGGCCACAUUGGGACUGAGACACGGCCCAAACUCCUACGGGAGGCUGCAGUAGGGAAUCUUCCACAAUGGGCGAAAGCCUGAUGGAGCAACGCCGCGUGUGUG
RNAcentral lists this ribosomal RNA (389 nucleotides) under uncultured bacterium. Its description in RNAcentral is "bacterial SSU rRNA". It matches the Rfam family "Bacterial small subunit ribosomal RNA", at positions 28 to 407 of the family's 1533-position model. The record is from RNAcentral.